RNAcentral lists this ribosomal RNA (387 nucleotides) under uncultured bacterium. RNAcentral's name for it is "bacterial SSU rRNA". It matches the Rfam family "Bacterial small subunit ribosomal RNA", at positions 30 to 417 of the family's 1533-position model. The record is from RNAcentral.
AUUGAACGCUGGCGGAAUGCUUUACACAUGCAAGUCGAACGGCAGCACGGACUUCGGUCUGGUGGCGAGUGGCGAACGGGUGAGUAAUACAUCGGAACGUGCCCAGUCGUGGGGGAUAACGUAGCGAAAGCUACGCUAAUACCGCAUACGAUCUAAGGAUGAAAGCGGGGGAUCGCAAGACCUCGCGCGAUUGGAGCGGCCGAUGGCAGAUUAGGUAGUUGGUGGGGUAAAGGCUCACCAAGCCGACGAUCUGUAGCUGGUCUGAGAGGACGACCAGCCACACUGGAACUGAGACACGGUCCAGACUCCUACGGGAGGCAGCAGUGGGGAAUUUUGGACAAUGGGGGCAACCCUGAUCCAGCCAUUCCGCGUGAGUGAAGAAGGCCU